UACGUGAAACCGUUCAGGGGUAAACCUGAGAAACCCGAAAGUUCGAAAGCGCGAGAUUCAUCGCGUUUCGACGUGUCGUCGGGACGACGUACGGACGUUGAUCGUUCUCUUCUCACGCUCUUCGGGGUGUGGGCGAGAUGCUUCGAUUGCGCCGUGCGUUUCUCGUUUUUCGAUCGUCGAACGCGUGCACUUCUCCGCCUGUAGGACGUCGCGACCCGUUGGGCGUCGGUCUACGAUUUGUGGUGCAGCCCGCAUGGCGGUGGUCGUCUCAACAACGAUCAUCUAGUCCGUGCGAACCCACAAUAUCCGGCCGGCUCGCUCGACGGUAACUACGAAGGGCGCGGGGCCGCGACUUGUUCGCGUCCGGCCCGUCGCAAGCACAUACGGUAAUUGUGCGGCUUCGGCGAUCUUGUGUCGCCGACCGUCGAUCCGGAUGUCUGUUAGCGACGGAGUCCUCGGACCGACUCCGCAUUCACGCCCGUCUGCGACGCUAUUGUUUUGGGUACUUUCAGGACCCGUCUUGAAACACGGACCAAGGAGUCUAGCAUGUUCGCAAGUCUUUGGGUUCAUUCUCGAAUCCUAUAGGCUUAAUGAAAGUGAAGGUCCGCCUUUGCGCGCGACCUAGGGAGGAAAGAGAGAGUUUCGACUCUUUCUCGCACUCCCGGGGCGUCUCGAUCUCAUUGCGAGAUGAGGCGCACCUAGAGCGUACACGCUGGGACCCGAAAGAUGGUGAACUAUGCCUGGUCAGGACGAAGUCAGGGGAAACCCUGAUGGAGGUCCGUAGCGAUUCUGACGUGCAAAUCGAUCGUCGGAA
Molecule: ribosomal RNA, 814 nt
Filed under: Endopterygota sp. NZAC 03013115
Lineage: Eukaryota; Metazoa; Arthropoda; Insecta
Description: eukaryotic LSU rRNA
Rfam family: Eukaryotic large subunit ribosomal RNA
Source: RNAcentral